CAGUAGCCGCGGUAAAACGUAGGGUGCGAGCGUUAAUCGGAAUUACUGGGCGUAAAGCGUGCGCAGGCGGUUGUGUAAGACAGGUGUGAAAUCCCCGGGCUUAACCUGGGAAUGGCAAUGGAUACUGGCAAGCUAGGGUGUGUCAGAGGAUGGUGGAAUUCCCGGUGUAGCGGUGAAAUGCGUAGAGAUCGGGAGGAACAUCAGUGGCGAAGGCGGCCAUCUGGGACAACACUGACGCUGAGGCACGAAAGCGUGGGGAGCAAACAGGAUUAGAUACCCCGGUAGUCCCUGUCUCUUAUAC
This 301-nucleotide ribosomal RNA is filed under the name uncultured bacterium. RNAcentral's name for it is "partial 16S ribosomal RNA". It matches the Rfam family "Bacterial small subunit ribosomal RNA", at positions 509 to 807 of the family's 1533-position model. The record is from RNAcentral.